Molecule: unclassified non-coding RNA, 330 nt
Filed under: fungal sp.
Lineage: Eukaryota; Fungi
Description: partial internal transcribed spacer region
Source: RNAcentral
AAGUCGUAACAAGGUUUCUGUGCGGAAGGAUCAUUAACACGUAUCCAAACGUUAAAACCCCCCCCGUGAACCUUCAUCCUGCUCUUGUAACCCGCGUAGUUCGCAAUCUCUGAUAAAUCAUAGCCCGGAAAGUUGUAGUGAUUCAGGGACCUCUGUCAUUGAUUGUGCAAGGAUAGCGCUUCUACGAUUCCUGUAGACCGUACACUCGGGCAGGAGCUUUGCCAAAGGGUCCCCAUGCCCCCUAAUAACCCCACAGUUUAAUUUGCAGCUCAAUGGAAUACAUUGGGUAAAAAAACCGAACAACUGUUAACAAUGGAUAUCUUGGUUCUC